This is a long non-coding RNA of Phyllostomus discolor (pale spear-nosed bat), 101 nucleotides long. RefSeq lists it as uncharacterized. Lineage: Eukaryota; Metazoa; Chordata; Mammalia; Chiroptera; Phyllostomidae. The transcript is spliced from 3 exons. The record is from RefSeq and is a predicted model, not a curated record.
CACAUCCAAGAACCAGUUCUCCCUGCAGCUGACAUCCAUGACCCCCGAGGACACAGCUGUGUAUUACUGUGCAAGAGACACAGGUUGGGGUGACUUUAACU